GAAAAAUAUUUAAUGUUUAAGCUUAAUUAUCAAUAAUACCGAAUUUCAGAAUAUAGAUGUUAAAACUAUAACUAGCAAUUCCAAAAUGAAAUUUUAAUUUCUGAGUUUGGAGGACUAGUCCAUCUUCUUUCUACAACAAAAUGAAAAGAAAAAAAAGCAAAGAAGGAUAACAAAUGAUCCGGCACAAAGAAUGAAGUGUGCUUGCGUUUAAGGUGGGGACUGGGGAAGAGAGGGUAAAUUAGAUUGAUUGAUGCAUUUUUUCACUACCCACUCUCGAGGCAUGAAUGACAUGAAAUUGAGAAGACCACUAUUCAUGAUUGCCUUCAAUUCUUCUGCAACAAAAAACUAACUUCUAACUCUGUCCGUUCUUCACUUGGCCAUCAGAAACAAGGGGCUUAAUGCACAGUCGUGGCUUUACACUGACGAGGUUUUGAUGAAGAACAGAGACAGCAGCAACUAAUGAUCCGUUGGGCACUCCCGAAAGAGGCAGCAACUCAACAAGAAUGGAAAGCUCUGGAGACUUAAGGUCAACAGAUGAAUCUGAUACAGCUUCUUUAACCGCAGAAGCCACAAUUUCAAAGCAUUUGUUUCGGUCCAACAAAGAACACUUAUUAGAAUCCUUCAUAAACUUCACUUGCAUCUCUUCAAUACCUCUUCUGUUAUAACCAACUGCAAACUUUAUAGGAUGUGAAAGUUUGUUUUGUUUGUCAUUCAUGAAUUGAAGAACAAGCUUUGAUACGACUGUUCGCAGUUCCUUCUCAUCCAAAGGACAUGUAGAUUGGAUUGGGAAAAUGCGAUGACACCAUAGAGGUGACCUUAGACUCCCAGAUUCCAGACACUGAAAAAUAUUUGAUACUAUAUCUACAGUGUCAGGAGAAUUUUCUCCUGCAAAGGUCAGGAGAAGCAAACCACUCCUUGUCAACUUGACCAGGGAAAGAACAGAACUUUUUUCUUCUAUUGCAUCCAUCUCUUUUGAAAGCCCAUCUGUGUCCUCACUAACGCUCUUGCUUUUCAUGCCUUCAGCACUUGUUCUAACUAUUUCAUCAAUCUGUGUUUUCCUUCUCUUAGUGCUUUGGCUUGCAUUGGAGCUUUCCAAACAUUCAGAGGUUGCACAGUUAUAGGACCCAAUAUACUUUUCAAGGAUGGAUAUUACUUCUUUGGUCGCACUUUUUUCCCUCUUGAUGGAGCAGGUGACAAGGAAGCCAGAGUGAGAGCGCUGAAGUAAAGCAGACGGUGCUUUGUAAUCAAAGCGAGGUAAGCUUAUGACGGCUGCGUGCUGCUCCCAUGGCUUCAUUCUUUUUGUAUCGCUCCGUUUCACUUUAAGCUCUUCUUCCUCUGUUGCUUCUUCAUUUUCAUUUUCUGAUUUCGUUUCUCUUUCCACUUUCUGGCUUACUUGUUUUUCUUCAGCCAUUUCCACGUUGAGCUCAGCUCACAGCCAGAUAGGUGUUCCAAAAC
This 1455-nucleotide unclassified non-coding RNA is filed under the name Hevea brasiliensis (rubber tree). The record is from RNAcentral. Lineage: Eukaryota; Viridiplantae; Streptophyta; Magnoliopsida; Malpighiales; Euphorbiaceae.